Apis cerana (Asiatic honeybee) is the source of this 485-nucleotide long non-coding RNA. RefSeq lists it as uncharacterized. NCBI's taxonomy places the organism in Eukaryota, Metazoa, Arthropoda, Insecta, Hymenoptera, Apidae. The record is from RefSeq and is a predicted model, not a curated record.
UUAAGAAAAAAAAAAAGAAAUUGAACGCAUUCGAUAUUUCGAGUGAACGGUGUGAAUAUUUUCGAAGGAUAAGCUGUUAAAAUUUGUGCGGAAUUCUGCUUUACAUAUGCAUAUGUAUAUAUAUAUAUAUACACGUAAAAAUUGUUCUUUUAUGUGACGUGAUGCAUGUCAGACGUUGAAUUGUGCGAGUGAUUGCAACUCACUCUUGACUUGAUUGAAAAUAUCAGAGGAGAAGAAAUCUGUCAUUAUGGAAUCAGCACGCAUAUAAUGGUGAACUAACAAGCAAAUCUUAAACCCUCGACACACGUACUGUCCGUCCACGAGAAAAUGUCAAGCAGAAGAGUACAGCGAUCCACGUCAUUGGACCUCUUACCUUGCACUGCACAUGCUCGAGAAACCGGACCUCGUUCACGGAUCCAGCGCAACCAGUGACGUCCAUGUAAACGCUCAGCGUGUAGCCGUAGGUCGGGUCGAUGCGCCUCUCC